UAAAGCACUUUUGCAGGAAAGAAACGCGCAGGUUAAUACCUUGCGCAACUGACGGUCCUGCAGAAUAAGCACCGGCUAACUACGUGCCAGCAGCCGCGGUAAUACGUAGGGUGCAAGCGUUAAUCGGAAUUACUGGGCGUAAAGCGUGCGCAGGCGGUUCGGAAAGAAAGAUGUGAAAUCCCAGAGCUUAACUUUGGAACUGCAUUUUUAACUACCGGGCUAGAGUGUGUCAGAGGGAGGUGGAAUUCCGCGUGUAGCAGUGAAAUGCGUAGAUAUGCGGAGGAACACCGAUGGCGAAGGCAGCCUCCUGGGAUAACACUGACGCUCAUGCACGAAAGCGUGGGGAGCAAACAGGAUUAGAUACCCUGGUAGUCCACGCCCUAAACGAUGUCAACUAGCUGUUGGGGCCUUCGGGCCUUGGUAGCGCAGCUAACGCGUGAAGUUGACCGCCUGGGGAGUACGGUCGCAAGAUUAAAACUCAAAGGAAUUGACGGGGACCCGCACAAGCGGUGGAUGAUGUGGAUUAAUUCGAUGCAACGCGAAAAACCUUACCUACCCUUGACAUGUCUGGAAUCCCGAAGAGAUUUGGGAGUCUCGCA
RNAcentral lists this ribosomal RNA (599 nucleotides) under bacterium MF_isolate_16. RNAcentral's name for it is "bacterial SSU rRNA". It matches the Rfam family "Bacterial small subunit ribosomal RNA", at positions 426 to 1021 of the family's 1533-position model. The record is from RNAcentral.